RNAcentral lists this ribosomal RNA (314 nucleotides) under uncultured bacterium. RNAcentral's name for it is "bacterial SSU rRNA". It matches the Rfam family "Bacterial small subunit ribosomal RNA", at positions 29 to 320 of the family's 1533-position model. The record is from RNAcentral.
AACGAACGCUGGCGGCGUGGAUAAGACAUGCAAGUCGAACGGGAACUUCAGCUGUAGCAAUACAGUUGAAGUUUUAGUGGCGAACGGGUGCGUAACACGUGGGCAAUCUGCCGAGAAGUGGGGGAGUAGCUCGCCGAAAGGACGAAUUAAUACCGCAUAUGAUCAGCUAAGACAUCUUAGCGACAUCAAAGACCGGGGCGAACCUGGCGCUUUUUGUAGGAGCCCGCCGGCCUAUCAGCUAGUUGGUGAGGUAACGGCUCACCAAGGCUAUGACGGGUAGCUGGUCUGAGAGGACGACCAGUCACACUGGAACU